Molecule: ribosomal RNA, 732 nt
Filed under: Bacillus sp. (in: firmicutes)
Lineage: Bacteria; Bacillati; Bacillota; Bacilli; Caryophanales; Bacillaceae
Description: bacterial SSU rRNA
Rfam family: Bacterial small subunit ribosomal RNA
Source: RNAcentral
AUGCAGUCGAGCGGACAGAAGGGAGCUUGCUCCCGGAUGUUAGCGGCGGACGGGUGAGUAACACGUGGGUAACCUGCCUGUAAGACUGGGAUAACUCCGGGAAACCGGAGCUAAUACCGGAUAGUUCCUUGAACCGCAUGGUUCAAGGAUGAAAGACGGUUUCGGCUGUCACUUACAGAUGGACCCGCGGCGCAUUAGCUAGUUGGUGAGGUAACGGCUCACCAAGGCGACGAUGCGUAGCCGACCUGAGAGGGUGAUCGGCCACACUGGGACUGAGACACGGCCCAGACUCCUACGGGAGGCAGCAGUAGGGAAUCUUCCGCAAUGGACGAAAGUCUGACGGAGCAACGCCGCGUGAGUGAUGAAGGUUUUCGGAUCGUAAAGCUCUGUUGUUAGGGAAGAACAAGUGCAAGAGUAACUGCUUGCACCUUGACGGUACCUAACCAGAAAGCCACGGCUAACUACGUGCCAGCAGCCGCGGUAAUACGUAGGUGGCAAGCGUUGUCCGGAAUUAUUGGGCGUAAAGGGCUCGCAGGCGGUUUCUUAAGUCUGAUGUGAAAGCCCCCGGCUCAACCGGGGAGGGUCAUUGGAAACUGGGAAACUUGAGUGCAGAAGAGGAGAGUGGAAUUCCACGUGUAGCGGUGAAAUGCGUAGAGAUGUGGAGGAACACCAGUGGCGAAGGCGACUCUCUGGUCUGUAACUGACGCUGAGGAGCGAAAGCGUGGGGAGCGA